Molecule: long non-coding RNA, 885 nt
Organism: Podarcis raffonei (Aeolian wall lizard)
Lineage: Eukaryota; Metazoa; Chordata; Lepidosauria; Squamata; Lacertidae
Exons: 4
Source: RefSeq, a predicted model, not a curated record
CUUAGCAAACAGACCUCUGCUUCCUGGGUCAUCAGAGGUGUCUUGCCUCUGGGAACAAAAAAUUCCCAGUGUGUGAGUGCAGAGCAGAAGCUGCAGGAUCUUGACCUCUCUGUGCUUUAGAACUGAUAGAGUACAGGAAGGAAGGGUGGAUCUGCUGAGAGUUCCUGUCUUGCUGUGAGUCACUGAUACAGACUGCUGUUCUUGCACUUUGCAUGCCACUGUUGGGACGUCAGGAAUGCGGGCUGCAAGAGGAAAUGAAUUUGUUCAAGGAAGGCUAGUCAGAAGGAUUUCUGGGCCAAAGAAGAAAAAUGUACAGAGGAACUUCAUGCCACGUCUUUGAACAUAUCUGUGCGAGACAGUUGUUGAUAAGCGUCUGUACUUGUGCCCAAAGCAAUGCAUUCAUUUGUCAAGACAAGCUGAGGCCUAUAGAGCCAGAGAGAGAACUGAUAGACUGAUGAGACCAAAAGAAGAAGAAAGAAACACAUGGAAAAAAUGAGCUGCUUUCCCUCCUACCUUAAAAGAAGGAACUGGAAAGCCCAUACCACAACUUAGUGCCAUGGAGGGUUCACCUUUGGACAGCAGCCAAGAAUGUGAUAAUUCAUUGUUGGGAAAGCAUAAUGAUAACGCAGCUGUGUAGCACUGGGAAGUCAGCUCCCAUGGGUUGUUAAAUGUGGAAACACAUUGACUGACUUUUUAAUAGCUCGGCCUACUGAGUUACAAAGAUUUUACUACCACACACUGCUGCAAGAGCAAUGGAUUCUAGCAAUGGAUUCACUCAAAGCAUCCGUAUCAAAGAUCUUGCAACACAAUCAGCCUUUCGUUACAAAGAGUGUUUCCAAGAUACAUUUUCCAUUAUUUGAACUUUAACUUAGUGUAAAAUAAAUA